This 23-nucleotide non-coding RNA is filed under the name Cricetulus griseus (Chinese hamster). Lineage: Eukaryota; Metazoa; Chordata; Mammalia; Rodentia; Cricetidae. The record is from RNAcentral.
UUAUCAGGACUGUGAAUUAACAC